Long non-coding RNA from Danio aesculapii, 119 nucleotides. RefSeq lists it as uncharacterized. The transcript is spliced from 3 exons. Lineage: Eukaryota; Metazoa; Chordata; Actinopteri; Cypriniformes; Danionidae. The record is from RefSeq and is a predicted model, not a curated record.
AAACCCAAACACUCGUCUAAAGAGGAGCAGAACGGAGAGCAGAUACAGUCAGAUGAGCAUCAGCAGGGGUCUGCACUCUCCAGAGGACUGAAAUGUGAAGCUGGAGACGGUGACCUGAA